This 253-nucleotide ribosomal RNA is filed under the name uncultured bacterium. RNAcentral describes it as "partial 16S ribosomal RNA". It matches the Rfam family "Bacterial small subunit ribosomal RNA", at positions 524 to 776 of the family's 1533-position model. The record is from RNAcentral.
UACGUAGGGAGCAAGCGUUGUUCGGAUUUACUGGGCGUAAAGGGCGCGUAGGCGGCGCGGUAAGUCACUUGUGAAAUCUCUGAGCUUAACUCAGAACGGCCAAGUGAUACUGCAGUGCUAGAGUGCAGAAGGGGCAAUUGGAAUUCUUGGUGUAGCGGUGAAAUGCGUAGAUAUCAAGAGGAACACCGAUGGCGAAGGCAGCUCGCUGGGACGGUACUGACGCUGAGGCGCGAAAGCGUGGGGAGCAAACAGG